Molecule: non-coding RNA, 416 nt
Organism: Pelobates cultripes (western spadefoot toad)
Lineage: Eukaryota; Metazoa; Chordata; Amphibia; Anura; Pelobatidae
Source: the annotation of a GenBank genome assembly
CAUACACGCAACACUGUUCCAGCAAAAUCCCCAAAUUGCUAUGAUGAAUAUAAGUUUGUGGUACUGGUCAGAUGCCUAGUCCUAUGCUAUGGGAAUAGUGGCCGAAGACAUAAUGAAAGACCUGCAGGAUUGACUAGCAAUCCUGAAUAUACCAUGGCAGAUGGCUGGUUGUCUGACCAAGACUCCUUAAAUGGGGUAUGAGCAAGGUCUUGCUCAAAGAGGGGAAUGAAGGGAAGGGGUUAAUGAUUCUCAUCUAUAAUUUCUGAUAUUAUAUUCUCUUUCUUAAGAUUUACACAAGAGCUAAAAAACUAGACAAACCACAGGUUAUUUUUGAUUUAUCACUUCUGCUUUUGAAUCAACAGACGCAUCCGCAAAGUAACGUUGACCUGAUGCUUCCGAGAAAAGUAUCAUGGAAA